This 59-nucleotide transfer RNA is filed under the name Narceus americanus. RNAcentral describes it as "tRNA-Val". Lineage: Eukaryota; Metazoa; Arthropoda; Diplopoda; Spirobolida; Spirobolidae. The record is from RNAcentral.
AAGUAAAGUUUAAUAACAUUUCAUUUACACUGAAGAGAUUCUUUAUAGAUACUUUGAGG